Non-coding RNA from Moorella thermoacetica ATCC 39073, 88 nucleotides. The record is from Rfam. Lineage: Bacteria; Bacillati; Bacillota; Clostridia; Neomoorellales; Neomoorellaceae.
AUCAACAAAGGGCAAACCUGUCGAAAGGCAGGGACGCAAAGCCAUGGGCCUAAAGCCCGACAAGGGCUAUGGUUGCCAGGUUGCCGGU